Corapipo altera (White-ruffed manakin) is the source of this 1603-nucleotide long non-coding RNA. RefSeq lists it as uncharacterized. Lineage: Eukaryota; Metazoa; Chordata; Aves; Passeriformes; Pipridae. The transcript is spliced from 8 exons. The record is from RefSeq and is a predicted model, not a curated record.
UCUCUGCUCACCGGUCUCUCCUGCCAUUCCCCUUGCUGCAGUGCCACACCUCUUUCCUCCCUCCAUCCACUGGGGUCACCAGCCCUGCACUGCUGAGUCUCCACCCUUUUAUCUGCAAUGUCACUACACACCUCACUGGAGGACUUACUAAUGAGGCUGAAACUUCAGACUUUGGAGAAGAGAAGAGAAGACGGUUUGGAGCAGAGGACCAGUGUGGAUAUCCAAGUCUGGGCUGGUUUAGCUCUGCAUCUGUCUCUGCUGCACUGUCUGCAGGCACAGGAGUGCAGACUAUUUAAUUUGCACUGGGGACUGCCUUUGACUCCAUGAAUAAGAAAGCACCUUUAAACACUCCCCACCUCUACUGAGCUGCAUGUUCCUGGUUUCCAGCUCCUGUGUGCACUUGGCCAGCAGGAUCAGAGCUGGGCCUACAAGGGCAGGCGUGAUGGGAAGACAGAGUUAAGACUGAAAUAUGAAACAGAGAACUUAGCACCCUCCAGUUUUGUCUUUUGUUCACCCAGCUUCAUAUAUGCUUAAGACAAGGAUAAUGUGGAUGGUCACUGCAGUGCCCUUUUUGUGGGCUGGGAUUUCUAUUGCCCAUGCUUUUUCCAAGGGAAACUUUUCCUGACUGCACCGUUUGUGUGUUGGAGGAUGUGGAGCUCUUUGUACCUGAGAGCCCAAAUGAGAAUUCUAAAGGCAACACAAGCCCCCAGGACAUUGUUUUCCAGUCCAUGAACAGAAGCUUUUGGCUGCUGCAGAAGUUCCCCUCUGUCUCAUCUGAAGCUGCUGUAAAGCAUCUGCCAAUGCCCUGAUGUUCCCCCACCCAAAGGGAAUUAAUGGCUGAGCUGGAAUGAAGAGCACAGCACAGAGAGCAGGCAUGGCCCAGACCUCACAGCACUAAUUAUGCCCUUAAAGGGACUGAAUUACUAAUUUUGGACAGUCACAGGAGCUGCUCUGGAAAUGCUUGCUGGAGGUAGGCUUAUCCCUUUCCUUUUCCCUUACUGCCUCUUCACCUUUUCCUCCUGUACAUUCCCAAUGACAACUUAAUUUUGUUCCAGCUCACUGGAGAAUCAAGUCAGUUUUAUUAAUGCAAAUAACCAUUAACUAAAUUAAGAUGAUAUAAGAAACAGAGAUCAGUUUAAAGAAGACUUAUACGGACACUGGGGGAAGCAGAGCAAGGCAGGUGUGUCCACCUACAACCACCUGAAAGGGAAAACCCCAUUUAUUCAAUACACUUGUGUUGGCAUCAUUAUUAACCCUUAUGGCAGUACCUGGCUCAGCUCCCUGUUAUGCAGGUGGAAUCCACACUUUAAAAGCUUAAUCUGUGGUACCAGGGAGAAGGUUUUUUGCUGAAAAGUCUGGGCUUUACAAGAAAAUGCAGCUGUGUAGGGAACAGGAAAAUGCAGUGGAAAACAGGAUGUGCAGCUUAAUGCUAAAUAGUGAUACACUGAAUAAAUUACUAUAAAGAACUAACUCUUCUUCAAUGUAAUUACACUGGGGGUUUUUUUUCCAUUUCAGAGGAGAGGAAACAGCCUAAUUGGAUAUAUGGGAAAUGAAGCCAGGGAAAGGGAAGUGGCUUUUUGUCCACUCACUGUAAACCUGUGGG